AAAUAUUUGAUAUUUUCUCAUUUGUUUCCUCCGGUGCACAAAAUUAGCAAUGGCUUGUUCGGUUUGGCUUCACUCGUCUUCUUUAUCACACACUCUGCUUCCAGUUCUCUGCCGCCAAACUACUAUCUCCACUACUUCCCUACGAUUCAACCGCCUCUCCUCCGCUGCUCGCUUCUUCUCCUCCUCCAUUGACCGGACCAACUCUCCGGUUCUUGUCCAGGCCAAGCGCCGCGGUGGUUCCUCAUCACUCAAAGAAGACCUUGUCGCUUCUCCGUCCGAUCUUCAUUUUGAAGCGCCACUGAAAAUUGUGAAGUAUCCGAACCCGAUAUUGAGAGCGAGAAACAAAAGAAUUGUCACGUUUGAUGAUAAUUUGAAGAAAUUAGUUGAUGAGAUGUUUGACGUUAUGUAUAAAACUGAUGGCAUAGGGCUCUCAGCACCACAAGUAGGAAUGAAUGUACAACUUAUGGUGUUUAAUCCAGUUGGUGAGCGAGGUGAAGGAGAGGAUAUAGUUCUCAUUAAUCCAAGAGUUAACAAGUAUUCAAAGAAAAAGGUGCUUUUUAAUGAAGGUUGCCUAUCCUUUCCUGGAAUCUAUGCUGAUGUUCAGAGACCAGAAGCUGUAAAGAUUGAUGCUCAGGACAUUAAUGGUGCUAGGUUUUCAUUCAAUUUGUCUGGUCUUCCUGCACGGGUAUUCCAGCAUGAGUUUGACCAUUUGGAGGGAAUUUUGUUCUUUGAUAGAAUGACUGAAGAGGUUCUUGACAGUAUCCGUAUCCAGUUACAGGCCUUAGAAAAGAAAUAUGAAGAGAAGACUGGGUUCCCAAGUCCUGAAAGGGUAGAAGCACGUAGGGGGCGGAAAGCUGCAGUCGGUUUUGGAAAAUCAUAAAUAUACAAUGGGCUUCCUCAGAUAAAUCAGGCUUCAUAGAAACUGUAAACUGAUAAUUUUUAUUCAUUGCCACCUGAAUUAAUGAUUAAACUUUGUUCUUAUAUUGUUGUUUUCUGUUGAAUAGGAUAGGUGAACUUAGGCGUGAUUCUGAACAUGUAACAUUCAAAAACUUGUUGAGCAGAAUGGCAUCAUAUUUGACAUUAACAUGUGCUGCUGCUACGAAAAGUGGCAGAACACAAAAUCAUCCAUACACCAUAGUAAGCCAGGGUGAUUCUAGCAAGAGUUUCUGUUGUAAGGAAAACUGGAUUUUGAGGGUGUGCCGGUUUGCAAACCGGUAAUAGGACGUACAGUGCUUGUUUUCAGCUCUCCAUAUGUUUCCCAACAGAAUGGUUGCCGAUACUCUUCAGAUGGUUUUAGUGCUAUGGUAGUUAGAGAUACACCAGUGCACGGUGAGCUGUCACUGCAAGCAAAGUGCACAGGUAUUUGUGUAUAGGUUCCUCGGAUAUUUACGUAGUUUAUAUCUGAUACAGAAACAGCUGAACUUUCAUUCUGGCAUUUGCUCUUGUCACAGUAGUAUUGAUCAAUCAUGAUAGGAGUCAUAACAUCUGAGACUUGAGUGUUUGAAAACAUUACUCGUUGCACAGAGCCUGAGCCUCCCUGCCAGUUAGAAACAAUAAAAAUACUGGCUCAAGCUGAGCAGAUAAUAUGGUA
This is an RNA transcript of Mangifera indica (mango), 1591 nucleotides long. It is a transcript of the gene named peptide deformylase 1B, chloroplastic/mitochondrial, with no coding region annotated. The record is from RefSeq and is a predicted model, not a curated record. The transcript is spliced from 7 exons. NCBI's taxonomy places the organism in Eukaryota, Viridiplantae, Streptophyta, Magnoliopsida, Sapindales, Anacardiaceae.